AGUGAACGCUGGCGGUAGGCCUAACACAUGCAAGUCGAACGGCAGCACAGUAAGAGCUUGCUCUUACGGGUGGCGAGUGGCGGACGGGUGAGGAAUACAUCGGAAUCUACUUUUUCGUGGGGGAUAACGUAGGGAAACUUACGCUAAUACCGCAUACGACCUACGGGUGAAAGCAGGGGAUCUUCGGACCUUGCGCGAUUGAAUGAGCCGAUGUCGGAUUAGAUAGUUGGCGGGGUAAAGGCCCACCAAGGCGACGAUCCGUAGCUGGUCUGAGAGGAUGAUCAGCGACACUGGAACUGAGACACGGUCCAGACUCCUACGGGAGGCAGCAGUGGGGAAUAUUGGACAAUGGGCGCAAGCCUGAUCCAGCCAUGCCGCGUGGGUGAAGAAGGCCUUCGGGUUGUAAAGCCCUUUUGUUGGGAAAGAAAAGCAGCAGGUUAAUACCCCGCUGUUCUGACGGUACCCAAAGAAUAAGCACCGGCUAACUUCGUG
This 492-nucleotide ribosomal RNA is filed under the name uncultured bacterium. Its description in RNAcentral is "partial 16S ribosomal RNA". It matches the Rfam family "Bacterial small subunit ribosomal RNA", at positions 29 to 507 of the family's 1533-position model. The record is from RNAcentral.